GGCCGAAACAUCAGGCAUGAGCCUGGUGUCUGCCGGAGAUGGUCUCCCGGCACUGAUGAUGGCAGACUAGA
This 71-nucleotide non-coding RNA is filed under the name Oscillospiraceae bacterium. The record is from RNAcentral. Lineage: Bacteria; Bacillati; Bacillota; Clostridia; Eubacteriales; Oscillospiraceae.